Molecule: ribosomal RNA, 1007 nt
Filed under: Hydeomyces hydei
Lineage: Eukaryota; Fungi; Ascomycota; Dothideomycetes; Pleosporales; Phaeosphaeriaceae
Description: SSU rRNA
Rfam family: Eukaryotic small subunit ribosomal RNA
Source: RNAcentral
AAACUGCGAAUGGCUCAUUAAAUCAGUUAUCGUUUAUUUGAUAGUACCUUACUACAUGGAUAACCGUGGUAAUUCUAGAGCUAAUACAUGCUAAAAACCCCAACUUCGGGAGGGGUGUAUUUAUUAGAUAAAAAACCAACGCCCUUCGGGGCUUCUUGGUGAUUCAUGAUAACUUAACGGAUCGCAUGGCCUUGCGCCGGCGACGGUUCAUUCAAAUUUCUGCCCUAUCAACUAUCGAUGGUAAGGUAUUGGCUUACCAUGGUUUCAACGGGUAACGGGGAAUUAGGGUUCGAUUCCGGAGAGUGAGCCUGAGAAACGGCUAACACAUCCAAGGAAGGCAGCAGGCGCGCAAAUUAUCCAAUCCCGACACGGGGAGAUAGUGACAAUAAAUACUGAUACAGGGCUCUUUUGGGUCUUGUAAUUGGAAUGAGUACAAUUUAAACCUCUUAACGAGGAACAAUUGGAGGGCAAGUCUGGUGCCAGCAGCCGCGGUAAUUCCAGCUCCAAUAGCGUAUAUUAAAGUUGUUGCAGUUAAAAAGCUCGUAGUUGAAACUUGGGUCUGGCUGGCAGGUCCGCCUCACCGCGUGUACUUGUCCGGCUGGGCCUUCCUUCUGGAGAACCUCAUGCCCUUCACUGGGCGUGUUGGGGACCAGGACUUUUACUUUGAAAAAAUUAGAGUGUUCAAAGCAGGCCUUUGCUCGAAUACGUUAGCAUGGAAUAAUAAAAUAGGACGUGCGGUCCUAUUUUGUUGGUUUCUAGGACCGCCGUAAUGAUUAAUAGGGACAGUCGGGGGCAUCAGUAUUCAAUUGUCAGAGGUGAAAUUCUUGGAUUUAUUGAAGACUAACUACUGCGAAAGCAUUUGCCAAGGAUGUUUUCAUUAAUCAGUGAACGAAAGUUAGGGGAUCGAAGACGAUCAGAUACCGUCGUAGUCUUAACCGUAAACUAUGCCGACUAGGGAUCGGGCGAUGUUCUUUUUCUGACUCGCUCGGCACCUUACGAGAAAUCAA